Molecule: ribosomal RNA, 253 nt
Filed under: uncultured bacterium
Lineage: Bacteria
Description: partial 16S ribosomal RNA
Rfam family: Bacterial small subunit ribosomal RNA
Source: RNAcentral
UACGGAGGGGACUAGCGUUGUUCGGAAUUACUGGGCGUAAAGCGCACGUAGGCGGAUUUGUAAGUCAGGGGUGAAAUCCCGGGGCUCAACCUCGGAACUGCCUUUGAUACUGCAAAUCUCGAGUCCGGAAGAGGUGAGUGGAAUUCCUAGUGUAGAGGUGAAAUUCGUAGAUAUUAGGAAGAACACCAGUGGCGAAGGCGGCUCACUGGACCACAACUGACGCUGAGGCGCGAAAGCGUGGGGAGCAAACAGG